RNAcentral lists this ribosomal RNA (387 nucleotides) under Burkholderia sp. PA2. Its description in RNAcentral is "bacterial SSU rRNA". It matches the Rfam family "Bacterial small subunit ribosomal RNA", at positions 62 to 451 of the family's 1533-position model. Lineage: Bacteria; Pseudomonadati; Pseudomonadota; Betaproteobacteria; Burkholderiales; Burkholderiaceae. The record is from RNAcentral.
UCGAACGGCAGCACGGGGGCAACCCUGGUGGCGAGUGGCGAACGGGUGAGUAAUACAUCGGAACGUGUCCUGUAGUGGGGGAUAGCCCGGCGAAAGCCGGAUUAAUACCGCAUACGAUCUACGGAAGAAAGCGGGGGAUCGCAAGACCUCGCGCUAUAGGGGCGGCCGAUGGCAGAUUAGCUAGUUGGUGGGGUAAAGGCCUACCAAGGCGACGAUCUGUAGCUGGUCUGAGAGGACGACCAGCCACACUGGGACUGAGACACGGCCCAGACUCCUACGGGAGGCAGCAGUGGGGAAUUUUGGACAAUGGGGGAAACCCUGAUCCAGCAAUGCCGCGUGUGUGAAGAAGGCCUUCGGGUUGUAAAGCACUUUUGUCCGGAAAGAAAA